CACUCAGGGUCACUCAGGGGUCAUUGGGGUCACUCGGGGGUCACUCUGGGGUCACUCAGGGGUCACUCAGGGUCACUCAGGGUCACUCAGGGGUCAUUGGGGUCACUCAGAGGUCACUCAGGGUCACUCAAGGGUCAUUGGGGUCAUUCUGGGGUCACUCAGGGGUCACUCAGAGGUCAUUGGGGUCACUCUGGGGUCAGGGACACCAAAAUCUGGGAGAAUUGGGGGAAAUUUGGGAAUUUCAGGGGGAAUUUUGGGGUCCUGGGGUGGGAAUUUGGGGAAUUUUGGGGUCCUGGGGUCGGAAUUUUGGGAAUUCCCCCCCCAGCCUGGAUUUUUCUGGGAAUUCCGAACUUUUUGGGCUUUCUUUUCCCUCCUGCCCGGAAUCCCCUGCCCUGAACCCUCCCAAAAACCCCAAAAUAACCCAAAAAAAUUCCCAAAAAAUUCCAAAAAAAAUUCCCAAAAAAUUCCCAAAAAAAUUCCCAAAAAAUUCCCCAAAAAAUUCCCAAAAUACCCCAAAAAAUUUAAAAAAAAUUCCCAAAAAAUUCCAAAAAAUUCCAAAAAAGUUCCCAAAAAUUCCCAAAAAAAUUGCCAAAACACCCCAAAAAAUUAAAAAAAAAUUCCCAAAAAAUUCCAAAAAAAUCCCCAAAAUCCCCCCAAAAAAUUCCCCCCAAAAUCCCCAAAAAUUCCCAAAAAAAUUCCGAAAAAUUCAAAAAAAAUUCCCAAAAAAUUCCCAAAAUACCCCCAAAAAAUCCCCAAAAAUUCCCCAAAAAUUCCCAAAAAAAUCCCCAAAAAUUCCCCAAAAAAUUCCAAAAAAAAUCCCAAAAAAUUCCAAAAAAAACCAAAAAAAUUCCCAAAAAAAUCCCAAAAAAUUCCAAAAAAAUCCCCAAAAAUUCCCAAAAAAAUUCCAAAAAAAUCCCCAAAAAUCCCCAAAAAUUCCCCAAAAAGUUCCAAAAAAAUCCCCCAAAAAUCCCCCAAAAUUCCAAAAAAUCCCCAAAAAUUCCAAAAAAAUUGCCCAAAAAUUCCCCAAAAAAUCCCCAAAAAUUCAAAAAAAUUCCAAAAAAAUUCCAAAAAAUUCCCAAAAAUUCUUAAAAAAUCCCCAAAAAUUCCCCAAAAAUCUCCAAAAAUCCCCGACUUCCCCCGAAUUUCCGGAUCCAGGACCCGGUGUUCGCCCUGGAGCAGAACCUGCCCAUCGACACCCGCUACUACCUGGAGCAGCAGCUGAGCCGGCCCCUGCUGAGGAUCUUCGAGCCCAUCCUGGGCGAGGGCCGGGCCCAGGCGGUGCUGCUGCAGGGGGAACACACGCGCUGCAAAACCCUCCUGACCUCCAAAUCCGGGGGGCUCUCGGCCUUCACCUCCAAACGCAGCAGCUGCGUGGGCUGCCGGGCCCUCCUGCCCCACCACGGAGCUGUUUGUGAUUUCUGCCGCCAGAGGGAGUCCGAGCUCUACCAGAAGGAGGUGGGGGAGCAAUUCCCGGAAUUUUGGGGGAAUUUGGGGAAUUUUUGGGGAAUUUUUGGGGAAUUUUGGGGGGAUUUUUUGGGAAUUUUGGGGGAAUUUUGGGAAUUUUUUGGGGAAUUUUUUGGGAUUUUUUUGGGGAUUUUUUUUGGAAUUUGGGGGGGAUUUUUUUUGGAUUUUGGGGAAUUUUUUGGGAAUUUUUGGGGGGAUUUUUAGGAAUUUUUGGGGAAUUUUUUGGGAAUUUUUGGGAAUUUUGGGGGGAUUUUUGGGGGAUUUUUGGGGGAUUUUUUUGGGAAAUUUUGGGGGAAUUUUUGGGGAAUUUUGCAGGAAUUUU
Cyanistes caeruleus (blue tit) is the source of this 1786-nucleotide long non-coding RNA. Lineage: Eukaryota; Metazoa; Chordata; Aves; Passeriformes; Paridae. The record is from Ensembl.